AUUGAACGCUGGCGGCAUGCUUUACACAUGCAAGUCGAACGGUAACAGGCCGCAAGGUGCUGACGAGUGGCGAACGGGUGAGUAAUGCAUCGGAACGUGCCCAGUCGUGGGGGAUAACUACUCGAAAGAGUAGCUAAUACCGCAUACGAUCUAUGGAUGAAAGCGGGGGACCGUAAGGCCUCGCGCGAUUGGAGCGGCCGAUGUCAGAUUAGGUAGUUGGUGGGGUAAAGGCUCACCAAGCCAACGAUCUGUAGCUGGUCUGAGAGGACGACCAGCCACACUGGGACUGAGACACGGCCCAGACUCCUACGGGAGGCAGCAGUGGGGAAUUUUGGACAAUGGGCGCAAGCCUGAUCCAGCAAUGCCGCGUGCAGGAAGAAGGCCUUCGGGUUGUAAACUGCUUUUGUACGGAAAGAAACGGCUCUGGUUAAUACCCGGGGCUAAUGACGGUACCGUACGAAUAAGCACCGGCUAACUACGUG
This 482-nucleotide ribosomal RNA is filed under the name uncultured bacterium. RNAcentral describes it as "partial 16S ribosomal RNA". It matches the Rfam family "Bacterial small subunit ribosomal RNA", at positions 30 to 507 of the family's 1533-position model. The record is from RNAcentral.